RNAcentral lists this transfer RNA (75 nucleotides) under Actinomycetota bacterium. Its description in RNAcentral is "tRNA-Pro". It matches the Rfam family "tRNA". Rfam says of the family: Transfer RNA (tRNA) molecules are approximately 80 nucleotides in length. Their secondary structure includes four short double-helical elements and three loops (D, anti-codon, and T loops). The record is from RNAcentral. Lineage: Bacteria; Bacillati; Actinomycetota.
CGGGACGUGGCGCAGUUUGGUUAGCGCACUGGUCUGGGGGACCAGGGGUCGCCGGUUCAAAUCCGGCCGUCCCGA